Molecule: small RNA, 661 nt
Filed under: Russula sp. SB138
Lineage: Eukaryota; Fungi; Basidiomycota; Agaricomycetes; Russulales; Russulaceae
Description: eukaryotic LSU rRNA
Rfam family: 5.8S ribosomal RNA (bases 231-384)
Source: RNAcentral
UGCGGAGGUCAUUAUUGUAUAAUGGAGGUGCUGAGGUUGUCGCUGACUUUUGAAAGGGUCGUGCACGCCUCGGUACUCUCACAUAUAAUCCAUCUCACCCCUUUGGGCAUCACCGCGUGGGGACCCCUUUUGGCUAGUUCUGAGGGGGGUUUUCACGUUUUUACAUACACACAUCAUUUUAAUGCAUUGCAUAGAAUGUCUUACUUUUUGCGAUCACACGCAAUUAAUACAACUUUCAACAACGGAUCUCUUGGCUCUCGCAUCGAUGAAGAACGCAGCGAAAUGCGAUACGUAAUGUGAAUUGCAGAAUUCAGUGAAUCAUCGAAUCUUUGAACGCACCUUGCGCCCUUUGGUAUUCCGAAGGGCACACCCGUUUGAGUGUCGUGACAUUCUCAAAACCUUCUUGGUUUCUUGACCGGGAAGGCUUUGGACUCUGGAGGUUCUUGCUGGCCUUUCUUUAUUGAAGCCAGCUCCUCUGAAAUGCAUUAGUGGGAUCUGCUUUGCCGAUCCUUGACGUGAUAAAAUAUUUCUACGUCUUGGGUCUUGCACUGUUUGCUCUGGAUCCUGCUUCUAACCGUCUCAUAGAAGACAAUGGCCACUUGGCCUACAAACCUUGACCUCAAAUCGGGUGAGACUACCCGCUGAACUUAAGCAUAUCAUA